CAUCGAAUCUUUGAACGCACCUUGCGCUCUAUGGCAAUCCGUAGAGCAUGCCUGUUUGAGUGCCAUGAAAUCUCCCACCCCAAGCGGUUUUUAAAUGAAACGGCUUGGCGGAUGGGGUCUGGAUGGGUGCCUCUGCCUGCGCUACCUAGCACAGGCUCGCCCGAAAUGCAUGAGCGCCUUGAGACACUUUGCAUCCGCCUCUCUGUUUGGGAGGAGGCGGCCAAGCAGUGUUUUUCUCCUGGCAUGGCAUGAUACGUCAUUUGCUAUGUCACCUAAAGGAGGAAUGUUUGGUUGUGUCUGCGUGUGCUUCAAACUUGCCUCUGUGGCACAUCCCAAUUUCACUUCUGGUCUCAAAUCAGGUAGGAUCACCCGCUGAACUUAAGCAUAUCAAUAAGCGGAGGAAAU
Molecule: unclassified non-coding RNA, 405 nt
Filed under: Malassezia restricta
Lineage: Eukaryota; Fungi; Basidiomycota; Malasseziomycetes; Malasseziales; Malasseziaceae
Description: sequence contains ITS2
Rfam family: Eukaryotic large subunit ribosomal RNA (bases 346-405)
Source: RNAcentral